Molecule: small nuclear RNA, 164 nt
Organism: Rattus norvegicus (Norway rat)
Lineage: Eukaryota; Metazoa; Chordata; Mammalia; Rodentia; Muridae
Product: U2 spliceosomal RNA
Source: Ensembl
ACCGCUUCUCAGCCUUUUGGCUAAGAUCAAGUGUAGUAUUUGUCAGUUCAGCUAGCUACAGAAAAACUGUGUUCCAUUUUGUCUUUUUAUUAAUUAACCGUAUCCUGAGCACUAAAAGCAAUGAGUCAUUGGUAAAAUGCAUCUGUUUUCAUAUGGCAUCAUUU